This 236-nucleotide long non-coding RNA is filed under the name Vigna radiata. RNAcentral describes it as "long non-coding RNA (VRAD_LNC000997)". The record is from RNAcentral. Lineage: Eukaryota; Viridiplantae; Streptophyta; Magnoliopsida; Fabales; Fabaceae.
CAAUAUCAUGGUCAUUACAUUAUUUCUAUUUCAUGGUCAUUACAUUGCAACAUUCCUUUGAGGUUUCAAGGAAGACUUUGAUCCGUAUGAACUGUAAGGUUCCAAGAAAUGCCAACACACAUUAUUCAUGGACACAUUUUUUAGGCCAUUCUAGUGUUCAUCGAUUUUUAAGAACACUUCAAGAUAAGCUUGUUGUUUUCCUUUCUCACUAGUAUGCAUGAUUUCAUUUUUUACUG